UACGUAGGGUGCAAGCGUUGCCCGGAUUUAUUGGGCGUAAAGGGUGCGUAGGCGGCGGAGUAAGUUGGGUGUGAAAUCCCGGGGCUCAACCUCGGAAUUGCAUUCAAUACUGCUUCGCUCGAGUACUGGAGAGGAGGCUGGAAUUUACGGUGUAGCAGUGAAAUGCGUAGAUAUCGUAAGGAAGGCCGGUGGCGAAAGCGAGCCUCUGGACAGUUACUGACGCUGAUGCACGAAGGCCAGGGGAGCAAACAGG
RNAcentral lists this ribosomal RNA (253 nucleotides) under uncultured bacterium. RNAcentral's name for it is "partial 16S ribosomal RNA". It matches the Rfam family "Bacterial small subunit ribosomal RNA", at positions 524 to 776 of the family's 1533-position model. The record is from RNAcentral.